This 162-nucleotide ribosomal RNA is filed under the name uncultured bacterium. RNAcentral's name for it is "partial 16S ribosomal RNA". It matches the Rfam family "Bacterial small subunit ribosomal RNA", at positions 393 to 539 of the family's 1533-position model. The record is from RNAcentral.
CAUGCCGCGUGUGUGAAGAAGGCCUUCGGGUUGUAAAGCACUUUAAUCAGGGAAGAAAAGCACCGGGUUAAUAACCCGAUGUCUUGACGGUACCUGAAGAAUAAGCACCGGCUAAUUCCGUGCCAGCACCGGCGGUGACUGAGCGGGCUGGCAAGGCGCAUA